AAAGAAGGUUCGCCACCGGGUGCCUUCUGGGAAUGAAACCGGCAUACUAUGCUCGAGUUAUAAGAAGAGCGGUGUAGCGAUCGCAUCGGCUAGUCGCUAAAGAGUUUUGCCGCCGCGAAGAACGGGAACCAACUCGACAGAACAGAAAUAUAUUACUCUAGAAACCUAUCAGACGUUUUUGGAACACUUGCGAGUUGCUAUGGAUACGCAGCAGCUUGAUGGCGAAAAGCGGAGGAGAGAGGUUAGAAGACUGUCAGACAUAAUUCGGACGCUUAGGAAUCGCUACGCUCGUAUGGGAACGUGAUGGGGAAGAAUGGAAAAACAUUGGAUAACCUAGAGAGGCUGCUACCAGUAUUCUGAAACACCUACGGAAGUUGGCCGAUGAUGAAGAAAGACGGAGUGGACCGAAGGAAGAGUAACGUUUGAUGUAGAGACCUGUAGGAAAUGUUUGCAGCGCUUACGAAUCUCUAUAGCUGCACGGAAUCGUGAUAAAGAAUGGAAGAACGUAUAAGAGAACUAUGAGAAAUAUUUGGAAUAGCUAUGGAUACGUUCGAUGACGAAUAACGGAGAAAUGGACCAAGGGAAGAGUAACGUAUAGUUUAGAGCUGCAACAAAAACAUUCGUAACACCUACGAAUCUUUAUGGUUGCAUAAGAUCGUAUUGAAGAAUGGAAGAGCGAAUGGAGGGAAGAAGAGUGGAUAAUCUAGAACAUAAUCAGAGACCUUUGGAACGUAAUAAAUUGUAUCUAUGGAUACAUAGGCGUUUGAUGACAAAGAACGAACCGAGAGAACAGUUUAGGGAUCAGUUAAGCAUAUUCGAUGCAUCUACAAAUCUCUAUGAGUGCGGAGGAAGAAUCUGUCUCAAACGUUUGAAAACGUGUACGUACGGAUACGCAGAACCUCAAGGACGAAGAACUAAAGUGUGAACGAAGGGGAUGCUGCAAUCGGACAUCUACCAAUCUUCAUACUUAGAAAGAAUCGUAAUGACGAAAGAUAGGAAACCAAGUGGAGAACGUAUAAUCUGAAAACCUACCAAAAAUAUCUGAAACACCUACAUAGGAAUCUCUACGAAGGCACGGAAUCGUGACAAAGAACGAACAGAAGAAAUCAAAGGAAAAACGACGUAUAAUGUAGAAGAGAGCCAAAAAUAUUUGAAACACCUACGAGUACCCACGGAAGCACAGAAGCUGGAUGACGAAGUACAAACAAAGGGAAUAGAGACCAAUCAGACAUAUUUGGAACACCUACGAAUCUCUAAGAGUGCGCAGGAUCGCGAAGACGAAGAAUGGAAGAAAGAACGGCGAGAAGAAGGAGAAAAGAUGGUGUCUAGAGACCCAUCAGACAUAUUUGGAACACCUACGAACGUUUCUAUGAACGCACAGGGUGGAAACCUGAAACACUGGAUACCGGUUUGCAGUAGUCGUUGUUGUUGUUGUUCUAGUUUGUUGUUUGUAUAGAGAAUAGUCGACGUGAGAGAGAAGAGAUAGUGAUGAAGAGACCGAAUAUGCCGAUGUGGCAAGGCUCGAGACGCAACGGCCACAAGGCAAAGGCAAGGCAAGCAAGCAAGGCACAAGCAGGCAGGACUUACCUCUGCUGUUUUUAGAACUCCACUCCCAGAACUGCGCGGGUCGAGCCGAGCCAAAACCAAAAUACCACCGAUAUAGCUUUUCUGCGAUGGUCUUUGUGUGCGCGACCAACCAGCUCUUUCCUUAGGACGUCCAACCGGCUUGCACCGGAGUCGAACGAACUAACCUUACCCUGACACGAGUCUACGACCACGAACAUGGAUGAUGAUGACGAUGAUCGAGACGACCAAGACGAGAGUUCAGACAUUUCGAUGGUGCAUAUAAUAGUUUGAAGAAUUGAAUAAUUCUGUUAUUCGGUUGUUCGAUGAAAGAAACGUUAUCGAACCAAGUAUCGGAAUGUUGGAGGAUAUCGAGGGUGGUUCUGUUCAAAACGACGACCAAGAAUAGAAAAGUUUCCAAGGUGCAUCGAGAGAAACUGUAGUCGUAUUGGAAUAAUUUUUGUUGCUUUGAAAUGUUGGAGGAUGUUCAAGAAUGUCGAAGGCAUAUACGGAAGAGAAGAAAUUUGAAAUUUCCAUUCUUCAGGGGAUUAUCGAGUAUAGUGUUUGGGCUAAAAUAUUCUCAAUGAAUAUAAAUAUUUUAAUGGAUAUUGAUACGAUAUGGAUAUGAGAAAUAUUUCAAUGGAUGAAGUGAUUAUUGUGCAGAAAGAAAAGAAAGUUACCAAUCGUACCACUACCGAUCGCUCGAUAUUUUUUUAAACCGUCUUCCACUUCCUCUUCAACGUCCACCAUUAUUACAGCAGAAUACAUACGUCAGAGAAGUGUCAGCUCAAAAAGCGAGCCAAAUCUUGAAGACCAACUGAUUCAUUGAUGAGAUCAUGCAACUAAAACCAGCACGGUCGUGCCAAAAUACCCGGAAAUUUUCUCUUUUCUUACUUGGAAAAAUCAUAUAUAAUAUAUUAUUAUAUUAGUUACGUGGUCAUCGAAUUAUCGGAAUAUAUCUCCAUUCUACUGUAACUCCUGUCUUCUUAGAAGAAUUGCAAAGCUUCAGAUCAUGAAAGUUUCAGGUCGUCAGAUGCAAACUUCGUUUUCGAGGAAUUCUGAAGCUUUUGGUUUCCAAAUCCAGAAGUAAAAAUUUUACAUCGCCAGAUCUAAGCAAAUUAAUUUGUAUAUUUAGAAAUCCGAAAUGCGGAGUGUGAAGUUUUAGGUCAUUAAAUCUACAGAAAAUUGAAGUUCUAAAACAAUUAACAUUAAAUUGACAUUCACGAUAAA
Molecule: long non-coding RNA, 2793 nt
Organism: Bombus pascuorum
Lineage: Eukaryota; Metazoa; Arthropoda; Insecta; Hymenoptera; Apidae
Exons: 3
Source: RefSeq, a predicted model, not a curated record